AUUGAACGCUGGCGGCAGGCCUAAUACAUGCAAGUCGAGCGAGCGGCGGACGGGUGAGUAAUGUAUGGGGACUGCCCGAUAGAGGGGGAUAACUACUGGAAACCGUGGCUAAUACCGCAUACUAUCGGAUAACCCAUAUGGGAUUAGCUAGUAGGUGGGGUAAAGGCUGACCUAGGCGAAGAGCUCUAGCUGGCCUGAGAGGAUGAGCAGCCACACUGGGACUGAGAAACGGCCCAGACUCCGACGGAGGCAGCAGUGGGGAAUAUGGGGCAAUGGGCGAAAGCCUGAUGCAGCAAUGCAGCGUGUAUGAAGAAGGUCUUAGGGUUGUAAAGUUCUGUCAGCGGGGAGGCGUUACCUGAAGAAGAAGCACCGGCUAACUCCGUGCCAGCAGCCGCGGUAAUUC
Molecule: ribosomal RNA, 403 nt
Filed under: uncultured bacterium
Lineage: Bacteria
Description: partial 16S ribosomal RNA
Rfam family: Bacterial small subunit ribosomal RNA
Source: RNAcentral